GUAAACGGCGGCCGUAACUAUAACGGUCCUAAGGUAGCGAAAUUCCUUGUCGGGUAAGUUCCGACCUGCACGAAUGGCGUAAUGAUGGCCAGGCUGUCUCCACCCGAGACUCAGUGAAAUUGAACUCGCUGUGAAGAUGCAGUGUACCCGCGGCAAGACGGAAAGACCCCGUGAACCUUUACUAUAGCUUGACACUGAACAUUGAGCCUUGAUGUGUAGGAUAGGUGGGAGGCUUUGAAGUGUGGACGCCAGUCUGCAUGGAGCCAACCUUGAAAUACCACCCUUUAACGUUUGAUGUUCUAACCUAGGCCCAUAAACUGGGUCGGGGACCGUGUCUGGUGGGUAGUUUGACUGGGGCGGUCUCCUCCUAAAGAGUAACGGAGGAGCACGAAGGUUGGCUAAGCAUGGUCGGACAUCAUGCGGUUAGUGCAAAGGCAUAAGCCAGCUUGACUGCGAGAGUGACGGCUCGAGCAGGUACGAAAGUAGGUCUUAGUGAUCCGGUGGUUCUGAAUGGAAGGGCCAUCGCUCAACGGAUAAAAGGUACUCCGGGGAUAACAGGCUGAUACCGCCCAAGAGUUCAUAUCGACGGCGGUGUUUGGCACCUCGAUGUCGGCUCAUCACAUCCUGGGGCUGAAGUAGGUCCCAAGGGUAUGGCUGUUCGCCAUUUAAAGUGGUACGCGAGCUGGGUUUAGAACGUCGUGAGACAGUUCGGUCCCUAUCUGCCGUGGGCGUUGGAAGAUUGAGAGGGGUUGCUCCUAGUACGAGAGGACCGGAGUGAACGCACCACUGGUGUUCGGGUUGUCAUGCCAAUGGCAUUGCCCGGUAGCUAAGUGCGGAAGAGAUAACCGCUGAAAGCAUCUAAGCGGGAAACUUGCCUCGAGAUGAGUCUUCCCUGUC
RNAcentral lists this ribosomal RNA (897 nucleotides) under Proteus mirabilis. Its description in RNAcentral is "partial 23S ribosomal RNA". It matches the Rfam family "Bacterial large subunit ribosomal RNA", at positions 1923 to 2819 of the family's 2925-position model. The record is from RNAcentral. Lineage: Bacteria; Pseudomonadati; Pseudomonadota; Gammaproteobacteria; Enterobacterales; Morganellaceae.